This 544-nucleotide long non-coding RNA is filed under the name Homo sapiens (human). Its description in RNAcentral is "long independently transcribed non-coding RNA 2189 (LINC02189)". The record is from RNAcentral. Lineage: Eukaryota; Metazoa; Chordata; Mammalia; Primates; Hominidae.
CAGCCAGUGCCCUACACUAUACAAGAUGCCACUGUAGGGACAGGGAUGACCUCUAGCAAGGUGACCCUCAGUGGGCCAGAGGGGGCUUCUGAAGAGAAUUUCUCUAGCUUCUUGGUGUUUCCUGCCUGCUACUUUCAAACAAGGGUCCCAUUUUUAAUGUUUUCCCAGUAAUACCUUAUGAAUGUUAUUGCAAAGCAGCGGGCUAAAUCAACACCACAGGCCCCGUGAUCAAUAUAUGUGAUGAGGACAUUACAUCCUGGUGUUGUUGCCCCAAGUCUUGACGUGAAUCUGACCACAAGGACAAUUCGGACAACCUGAAAUGGUGACGCAUUCUACAAAAUAAACAUCAAUGUCAUGAAAGACAAAGACUCAAGAUUUUCUGCUUAAUGGAGACUAAAGAGAUGCGACAACAGAAUGCCAGGCAUGAUCUUGGAUAUUCUUUUGGCUCAAACAGUCUUAGGACAAUUGAAAAAACGUGAAUGAGGUCUGUAGCUAAUAGAAUUGUGUCAAUGCCAAAAAAAAAAAAAAAAAAAAAAAAAAAAAA